RNAcentral lists this long non-coding RNA (205 nucleotides) under Mytilus galloprovincialis (Mediterranean mussel). The record is from RNAcentral. Lineage: Eukaryota; Metazoa; Mollusca; Bivalvia; Mytilida; Mytilidae.
CAUUUAUACACUGUGAAUUUUGUCGAUAAAUGAAGAGGACGAGUUCCCCUUCUUUUAAAGAGUUUUUGAUUGAGCCAGUGUAACGUUAUAAAAGAGGGACGACAGAUACCAAAGGAAGAGUCAAACUCAUAGAUAGAUAAUAAACUGACAACGCCAUAGCUAAAAAUAAAAAGACAAAUACACAAAUAAUAGUACAGAAGACACA